UCCUUUGCUAUUUGAUUAAUUAAUAUUUAUAGGGAUAUGAUUUUUCCCCUCUGAGGACUGCUGCAGAUGUACCUUCGGAAUACUGGUAUGUUUUUCCUAAUUAACAUUUUCUUUAACAAAAUGAUCAUUUCUAUCUGUUCUUUCCAGGAGAUAUUGGCACCUCCUUUGCUGUGUGGAAUUGUUUUUAGCAUACAAUGAUAUCUUUGUAAGAUGGGCAAUAGCUGGUAAAUCGCUUCUCCAUCCACCUUCACCUUAUAAGGAAACCGGACAACAUAGUUUCCAGCCAUCCCUCAUUUCUGAGAGGCGAGCUUUUUGCCUUUUAUUCCUAGGAACCAGGAAUGUCCGAGUCUCCUCCUCCUACCAUCCUUUGUCACAGAAUCUCCCCUACCCCCACAUACAUAUUUUAGCAUCUUUUAUGUGUGUUUUUUCUCCCAUUAAAAUAGAAUCUCCUUGUAGGCAAGCAGGAUUCUUUUGCUUUUUUUAUGUGUAUCUCCAGCACCUAGCAUAUUGCAAGUGCUUAAUAAAUAUUAUGUCUGUCUGUCUUUAGUAAUCAUGGCCAACAUUUAUAUAGUACAUACUAUGUACCAGGCAUUGUAUUAAAUGCUUUACAAUUAUUAUCCCAUUUGGUCCUCAGAACAAUCCAGGAGAUAGGUGUUAUUCAUUCUCUCUAUGGGUUUCUGUCUCUGCUCUCUGGCUCUGUCUGUCUGUUUCUCUCUCUGUCUCUCUAUAUAUCUUUCUAUCUGUCUGUUUCUCUUUGUGUGUGUCUCUGUCUCUGUCUUGCUUUGUCUCUCUGUCUGUCUCUAUCUCGUCUCUGGCUCUGGCUCUGGCUCUGGCUCUAAAUCUUUCUAUUUCUCUCUGUAUGUGUCUCUGUCUCUGCCUGUCUGUGUCUGUCUGUAUCUAUCUCUGUUUCGGUCUCUGUCUCUGUCUCUGUCUCUGUCUCUGUCUCUGUCUGUCUCUGUCUCUGUCUGUCUGUCACUAUCUCUGGCUCUGGCUCUGGCUCUCUGCCUCUGACUCUGUCUCUCUGGCCCUGUCUCUCUAUCUUUCUAUCUGUCUGUCUGUUUCUCUCUGUGUGUCUAUCUCUGUCUCUCUGUGUGUGUCUCUAUCUCUGACUCUGUCUCUGUCUCUCCAUCUCUGUCCAUCUGUCUGUCUAUCUCUGUCUGUCUGUCUCUUUCUAUCUAUCUGUCUGUCUGUUUCUCUCUGUGUGUCUCUCUGUCUCUGUCCCUCUUUGCCUCUCUGCCUCUGUCUCUAUCUUUGUCUCUGUCUCUCCAUCUCUAUCCAUCUGUCAGUCUGUCUGUCUCUCUCUGUCUCUGUAUAUCUUUCUAUCUGUCUGUCUGUUUCUCUUUGCCUCUCUGCCUUCUGUCUCUCCAUCUCUGUCCAUCUGACUGUCUAUCUCUGUCUCUGUCUCUGUCUCUGUCUUUCUCUCUCUCUCUCAUCCAUCCAACUUUCCAUCUGCUCUGUCUGUCUAUCACUAGUCCCCAGAAGCCUUAUUUUGACAGGUCCUCCUAUGAUUUAGGAUUCAGUGUAUGCCAGGGGGAUGGUUCAUUUGAGAAGGCCCAGAAGGACUUAAUUAUAACAAAACCUCAUCUAUUUCACAGCAUGGAUCUUGGAGACGAAAUUCUACCAAGCCAAAUUCAUCUUUCUCUUAGAUAAAUCACUACAUUGAUUUGCAUGCUUUCUUCUUCCCUCUCUCCAUCCACAUUUUCACUGAGAAAUAAGAAGGUUGCUCGUCUGCUGUCAACCUCUGUACAUUUUGUUCCCCUUUUAAGUUACUGACCACUUUACAGAGCACCUAUGUGUCAUGAAACACAAGAGAAGUGACAAAACCAGGAGUCUAGAGGUGAAAUUCCUGUCUUCAACAUUUUUUAGCUGCUGCUUAGAGCAAAAGAAUUUAAUGUGAGGCUGCCCCAUGCGUCUGAUGUUGAAAGAGAUUAUAAGGGAGAUGAACUGCAAAUAACUGGAAAAACUGGACAAUUUUUAUCUCAUAAAAUGAUUUCCUUUCAAUAUUCAGGUUGGGGGCUGAAGAACUUACUGUUGUUCAGUCACUUCAGUCAUAUCUGACUCUUUGUAAUCCCAUUUGGGAUUUCCUUGGCAGAGAUACUGGAGUAGGUUUGCUAUUUCCUUCUCCAGGUCAUUUGACAGAUGGUGAAACUGAGGCAAACAAGGUAAAAUGACUUGCUCAGAGUCACCCAGCUAGUAAAUAUCUGAGACUAGAUAUGAACUCAGGUUUUCCUAAUUCCAGGCCCAGCAUUCUAUCCAUUUUGACAGCUAGAUACUCCUAAGAAUUUUUGGUCUCCCCAAAAAGGGUACACAGGAGAGACCUCAGACCUCUACUGGCACUGUUAAAGCUGUAGAACACUGACAGCCCAGGGGGAAAAU
This 2376-nucleotide long non-coding RNA is filed under the name Monodelphis domestica (gray short-tailed opossum). Its description in RNAcentral is "lncRNA (ENSMODG00000051177.1)". Lineage: Eukaryota; Metazoa; Chordata; Mammalia; Didelphimorphia; Didelphidae. The record is from RNAcentral.